UGAGGAAUAUUGGUCAAUGGGCGCGAGCCUGAACCAGCCAAGUAGCGUGAAGGAUGAAGGUCCUACGGAUUGUAAACUUCUUUUAUAAGGGAGUAAAGUCACCCACGUGUGGGUGUUUGUAUGUACCUUAUGAAUAAGCAUCGGCUAACUCCGUGCCAGCAGCCGCGGUAAUACGGAGGAUACGAGCGUUAUCCGGAUUUAUUGGGUUUAAAGGGAGCGUAGACGGGCCGUUAAGUCAGCUGUGAAAGUUUGAGGCUCAACCUUAAAAUUGCAGUUGAUACUGACGUCCUUGAGUACGGUUGAGGCAGGCGGAAUUCGCGGUGUAGCGGUGAAAUGCUUAGAUAUCACGAAGAACCCCGAUUGCGAAGGCAGCCUGCUAAACCGCCACUGACGUUGAGGCUCGAAAGUGUGGGUAUCAAACAGGAUUAGAUACCCUGGUAGUCCACACGGUAAACGAUGGAUACUCGCUGUUGGCGAUAGACUGUCAGCGGCUUAGCGAAAGCGUUAAGUAUCCCACCUGGGGAGUACGCCGGCAACGGUGAAACUCAAAGGAAUUGACGGGGGCCCGCACAAGCGGAGGAACAUGUGGUUUAAUUCGAUGAUACGCGAGGAACCUUACCCGGGCUUGAAUUGCAGACGAAUUGCUUGGAAACAGGCAAGCCGCAAGGCGUCUGUGAAGGUGCUGCAUGGUUGUCGUCAGCUCGUGCCGUGAGGUGUCGGCUUAAGUGCCAUAACGAGCGCAACCCUCGUGUCCAGUUACUAGCAGGUUAUGCUGAGGACUCUGGACAGACUGCCAUCGUAAGAUGUGAGGAAGGUGGGGAUGACGUCAAAUCAGCACGGCCCUUACGUCCGGGGCUACACACGUGUUACAAUGGGGGGUACAGCAGGCAGCUACCGGGCGACCGGAUGCCAAUCCCGAAAGCCUCUCUCAGUUCGGACUGGAGUCUGCAACCCGACUCCACGAAGCUGGAUUCGCUAGUAAUCGCGCAUCAGCCACGGCGCGGUGAAUACGUUCCC
RNAcentral lists this ribosomal RNA (1017 nucleotides) under uncultured bacterium. Its description in RNAcentral is "bacterial SSU rRNA". It matches the Rfam family "Bacterial small subunit ribosomal RNA", at positions 355 to 1375 of the family's 1533-position model. The record is from RNAcentral.